RNAcentral lists this ribosomal RNA (253 nucleotides) under uncultured bacterium. RNAcentral's name for it is "partial 16S ribosomal RNA". It matches the Rfam family "Bacterial small subunit ribosomal RNA", at positions 524 to 776 of the family's 1533-position model. The record is from RNAcentral.
UACGUAGGGGGCGAGCGUUAUUCGGAAUUACUGGGCGUAAAGCGUGCGCAGGCGGCGCGUUAAGACAGGUGUGAAAGCCCCGAGCUUAACUUGGGAAUUGCGCUUGUGACUGGCGUGCUGGAGUGUGGCAGAGGGAGGUGGAAUUCCACGUGUAGCAGUGAAAUGCGUAGAGAUGCGGAGGAACACCGAUGGCGAAGGCAGCCCCCUGGGCUAAGACUGACGCUGAGGCACGAAAGCGUGGGGAGCAAACAGG